CAGUAGCCGCGGUAAUACGUAGGUGGCAAGCGUUGUCCGGAAUUAUUGGGCGUAAAGGGCUCGCAGGCGGUUUCUUAAGUCUGAUGUGAAAGCCCCCGGCUCAACCGGGGAGGGUCAUUGGAAACUGGGAAACUUGAGUGCAGAAGAGGAGAGUGGAAUUCCACGUGUAGCGGUGAAAUGCGUAGAGAUGUGGAGGAGCACCAGUGGCGAAGGCGACUCUCUGGUCUGUAACUGACGCUGAGGAGCGAAAGCGUGGGGAGCGAACAGGAUUAGAUACCCCGGUAGUCCCUGUCUCUUAUAC
Molecule: ribosomal RNA, 301 nt
Filed under: uncultured bacterium
Lineage: Bacteria
Description: partial 16S ribosomal RNA
Rfam family: Bacterial small subunit ribosomal RNA
Source: RNAcentral